RNAcentral lists this ribosomal RNA (252 nucleotides) under uncultured bacterium. RNAcentral's name for it is "partial 16S ribosomal RNA". It matches the Rfam family "Bacterial small subunit ribosomal RNA", at positions 524 to 776 of the family's 1533-position model. The record is from RNAcentral.
UACGUAGGUGCAAGCGUUAAUCGGAAUUACUGGGCGUAAAGCGUGCGCAGGCGGUGAUGUAAGACAGGAUGUGAAAUCCCCGGGCUCAACCUGGGAACUGCAUUUGUGACUGCAUCGCUGGAGUGCGGCAGAGGGGGAUGGAAUUCCGCGUGUAGCAGUGAAAUGCGUAGAUAUGCGGAGGAACACCGAUGGCGAAGGCAAUCCCUGGGCCUGCACUGACGCUCAUGCACGAAAGCGUGGGGAGCAAACAGG